UGGGCCAGAAAAGUGUUCCGUGACCGCAGGGCAGGGUGAAGCGAGCUGGCGUGUCUGAGGGUAAGUGUGAUGAGGUAAUGAGCCUGCGGGGUGGGGCUCAGGUUAGCUGGUGCUGAGGUGUCCUGUCACUGGGUGUCCGGCCGGGGGCUGCGGCCGUGGCCUUCCCUUUCACGGCCCAGGGCCUUCCCUGCCAGCAUCUUGCUGCAGCCUGCUCGCGGCUGUUGGUUCUUGGUGCAUAUUCAGAAUACUUGCUCUCCUACUUGGGGUUAGAGUUCUCCCCAACUUAAUGAUUUCUCCUGCACCCAGGGAGAGCCUGCUGCGAAAAAGGCCCGAUCAAAUCCUCAGGUGUACAUGGACAUCAAGAUUGGGAACAAGCCAGCCGGUCGCAUCCAGAUGCUCCUGCGUUCAGACGUUGUCCCCAUGACGGCAGGUGAGUGGGACUUCAGGCAGGAUGCCGGUGGCUGAGCAGUGGCCUUCCCAAGGUCCUCGCUGCC
This 494-nucleotide long non-coding RNA is filed under the name Lynx pardinus (Iberian lynx). Lineage: Eukaryota; Metazoa; Chordata; Mammalia; Carnivora; Felidae. The record is from RNAcentral.